UCCAUAUUAUGUUUUCUGCUUUAUGUGCGCAUCCUCUACCUAUUAAGUGUUAAUUAAAUUAAAGGGUUUCUUUUUAAAAUCUUCUAUAACUAAUAAAAAAAUAUGGAAGAUUUUGUUACUUUGAGUAAAUUAGAGUGUUCAAAGCAAACAGAUAUAUAGCAUUUGUGCGUUUGAAUACUACAGCAUGGAAUAACAAAAUUGAACAGGUCAAAACUAUGUUUCUUUUUUUUUUAUUUUUGGCUUAGUUACGAUUAAUAGGAGUAGUUUGGGGACAUUUGUAUUCAGAUGUCAGAGGUGAAAUUCUAAGAUUUUCUGGAGACAAACAACUGCGAAGGCAUUUGUCUAAAAUACUUCCAUUAAUCAAGAACGAAAGUUAAGGGAGUGAAGACGAUCAGAUACCGUCGUAAUCUUAACCAUAAACUAUACCGACUAGGUUCUGGAUGAAAGUAAAACAAAUAAGGAUAGUCUCUUCGGGGAUAGUUCUUAGAUUUCUUCCUUCAGUACCUUAUGAGAAAUCAAAGUCUUUGGGUUCUGGGGCGAGUAUUCGCGCAAGCGAGAAAGUUAAAAGAAUUGACGGAAGGGCACCACCAGGCGUGGAGCUUGCGGCUUAAUUUGACUCAACACGGGAAAACUCACUAGUUUAAGACAAGAGUAGGAUUGACAGAUUAAUAGCUCUUUCUUGAUUUCUUGGAUGGUGAUGCAUGGCCGUUUUUAGUUCGUGAAUAUGAUUUGUCUGGUUAAUUCCGAUAACGAACGAGAUCUUAACCUGCUAAUUAGCAGUAAGUACAACAUAUUUCUAUGCUGAAUUUGUAUUUGGAUAAUUUAAAAGGUUUUUUUGCCGUGCAUAUAAUGAGUACGGAAAAAAUGCAUACUGCUACCUUGUACCUAAUAAUACUUGGCGCCUAUGCAUAUUUCCAACCCUCUAUUCCCUGUACCGCAUAAAACUGGAUUAUGAUGCCAUUUCACUUUUAUGUAGAAAUGUAUUUGCUUUUACAUAAAGCUUCUUAG
Molecule: ribosomal RNA, 1008 nt
Filed under: Plasmodium knowlesi
Lineage: Eukaryota; Apicomplexa; Aconoidasida; Haemosporida; Plasmodiidae
Description: SSU rRNA
Rfam family: Eukaryotic small subunit ribosomal RNA
Source: RNAcentral